UCCUGUACUACCGAUAACCGUUUGAGAGAAGGGAUGACACAGUAGGAUAAGCUAAGCACACUGUUGGUUAUGUGUGCCCAAGCAUUGAGGCAGUCAAAGUAGGCAAAUCCGCUUUGAUAAUGCUGGGAUGUGAUGGGGAGCGAAAUUUAGUAGCGAAGUAGCUGAUUUCACACUGUCAAGAAAAGUCUCUAUCGAGGUUAAAGGUACCCGUACCGCAAACCGACACAGGUGGGUGAGGAGAGUA
RNAcentral lists this ribosomal RNA (244 nucleotides) under Clostridioides difficile. RNAcentral describes it as "partial 23S ribosomal RNA". It matches the Rfam family "Bacterial large subunit ribosomal RNA", at positions 1437 to 1678 of the family's 2925-position model. Lineage: Bacteria; Bacillati; Bacillota; Clostridia; Peptostreptococcales; Peptostreptococcaceae. The record is from RNAcentral.